AAAAAAACACACCCCUGCCUUCACACAAAGGCACCUUGUCUCUUAACCAGGCUGCAACACCUAUUUUUAUUUUCUUUUUUUGGAACAAUGGAAAACUAAAAAACCAAGUCGGCCCUCGCUCCCUGCUGCAGGAAUAGCAGAACAAAGCCGGACGACUGGAGAAGCAGACAUCUGAGCCGGUGUAAUACCUGCAAUCUAAAACCGGUAGAGCAUAUAAGAUGUCCUCUGUAAGAGACUCAGCGACAAUACUCAGGCUGUCGGUCUCAUGAUGAAACUCUGACUUCACCACCAACCCAAACAUUGGAUCCACAGAGCAUCCCGGAUGAACGUCCGAGGCGCCGCCUGGCGAUCAAACUUUAAGAGUCGUUUCCAUGAAAGCAGACGCUACUGUAGGUUCUGACUAUGACUAAAUGCACUAAGGCUUCGGGUUCACUUUCAAAUAGGUCACCCUACUGGGCCAACCAAUGAAUUCAGCUAAAAAAGAUGACAGGUGCUUGGCUGUUAUUAUGAAAGCAAAACUGAUAAAAGAGGCUCCAUCCAGACUCUACAUCCAGAGCCGAUGGACAAAAAAAUCUCAUCAAAUCACCACCUUAACAAUUUAUAUACCAUAGUGUUUACGAAACUAACUUCAAACUUUACAUACUAUUUCUUACACACCAUAUUUGCGUACUUUUCAUUUUAGAUUUGUUGUUCUUUCCAUAUCUUUUUAUUUUUUACUUUCCAAGCAGUAUUUUUGUGCUACACCUAACAUAGUCUUUGUACUUUACUCAUUGUAUUUUUCGUACUUCAUAUACAAUAUUCUCCUAACUUGACAUACAGCACACUACCAACCAUAUUUUUCAUAUUUUAAAUACAUUAUUUUGCAUAAUUUUAAAUACUGUAUACUGUAUUUUUUGUACUUAUCUUAUUUGCACAUUUCAUACCGUAUUUUUAACACAAUAUAUUUUUGGUACUUUACAUAUUGUAUUUUUUUUCACUUUAACUAUUUAUAUAUUAUAUAAAUGUAUAUUAUAUUUCUUUAUAUUCAUCCUUCAUAUACAGUAUUUUCAUAACUAAUAUGGCAUAUUGUUCAGAGAUAAAGGAGCACCAGAUCGUAGGGCCUAUAGAGCAAACAAGGGUCAAACAAUGAUGUACGGCUACGCUACCUUUGGCCUACAGGGGCCUAGAGGCAGAUAAUUAGCGGAGGAGUUGAUGGGAAGUUUUUCUAGUGAACUGCUUUGUGAUUCAAGUGUACUCCAACAAUCCAUCAAGAGGCGCAAAUCACAGUUUAGCAUGGUCGUACUAGAACAUCUUGACAGAUUUGUUGAGCGCCGCCUACCACAGAAAAUUCCCGGUCAAAGGGCUUCACCAGAGUCCAUGAGACAAUUGGACGAUUCUCGUCACAAUAAUACGUUAAUAUCUCCACCAGGAUACAAAUCUUCCCAGGUGACAAAGUAAAACUAAAUUUGACUCUUUAAAGCGCUGAAGAGCAAAACAACCUAAAACGUGUUUUUUACAGAUUACAAUUGAUUCAAACUUAGUUUAUUUUGCUCUGGAAUGACUUCAUGUUUUACCUCUUUGGUUUUCGAUAUAAAUUUGAAUUUUGACGAAUUAUUCCUGACAAUCUUGACCCGAAGGUGCAAUUUGUUCAAGACAUCUUAGGUUCCACCUCCGUAGAUGAGCAAAACUUUGUGUUUCAGAGGGAAAUUCUUUCUGAUGCAGCAGAAAUAAGACUAUAUUUCUGAAAGAAACAGUAACGUCUGCAGAAGACCUGCUUCCUCUUUCAAAAUCAACAAGCUCUCAGACGCAGAUCCACUAUUUUAAUGACAUGACGGCUUCACCGUAGGAGCAUGGUACACGUGUGAACAGAAGUGGAUUUGGGGGUUUCCAAACAUGCGUGAACAUGCAUUGUAUGCAAAAACAUGAAGAUCUCAAAAUACACAGGAGUCAAAGGUCAA
This is a long non-coding RNA of Oryzias latipes (Japanese medaka), 1937 nucleotides long. RefSeq lists it as uncharacterized. The record is from RefSeq and is a predicted model, not a curated record. Lineage: Eukaryota; Metazoa; Chordata; Actinopteri; Beloniformes; Adrianichthyidae.